RNAcentral lists this ribosomal RNA (497 nucleotides) under uncultured bacterium. Its description in RNAcentral is "partial 16S ribosomal RNA". It matches the Rfam family "Bacterial small subunit ribosomal RNA", at positions 28 to 507 of the family's 1533-position model. The record is from RNAcentral.
GAUGAACGCUGGCGGCGUGCCUAAUACAUGCAAGUCGAGCGAACAGACGAGGAGCUUGCUCCUCUGACGUUAGCGGCGGACGGGUGAGUAACACGUGGAUAACCUACCUAUAAGACUGGGAUAACUUCGGGAAACCGGAGCUAAUACCGGAUAAUAUAUUGAACCGCAUGGUUCAAUAGUGAAAGACGGUUUUGCUGUCACUUAUAGAUGGAUCCGCGCCGCAUUAGCUAGUUGGUAAGGUAACGGCUUACCAAGGCAACGAUGCGUAGCCGACCUGAGAGGGGGAUCGGCCACACUGGAGCUGAGACACGGUCCAGGCGCCGGCGGGAGGCAGCAGUAGGGAAUCUUCCGCAAUGGGCGAAAGCCUGACGGAGCAACGCCGCGUGAGUGAUGAAGGUCUUCGGAUCGUAAAACUCUGUUAUUAGGGAAGAACAAAUGUGUAAGUAACUAUGCACGUCUUGACGGUACCUAAUCAGAAAGCCACGGCUAACUACGUG